GAGUCGCAUGUUCUAGACCCGAAGCGGAGUGAUCUACCCAUGGCCAGGGUGAAGCGACGGUAAGACGUCGUGGAGGCCCGAACCCACUUAGGUUGAAAACUGAGGGGAUGAGCUGUGGGUAGGGGUGAAAGGCCAAUCAAACUCCGUGAUAGCUGGUUCUCCCCGAAAUGCAUUUAGGUGCAGCGUCACGUGUUUCACGCCGGAGGUAGAGCUACUGGAUGGCCUAGGGGGCCCACAAGCUUACCGAAGUCAGCCAAACUCCGAAUGCCGGUGUGUGAGAGCGUGGCAGUGAGACUGCGGGGGAUAAGCUUCGUAGUCGAGAGGGAAACAGCCCAGAUCGCCGGCUAAGGCCCCUAAGCGUGUACUAAGUGGAAAAGGAUGUGGAGUCGCGAAGACAACCAGGAGGUUGGCUUAGAAGCAGCCACCCUUGAAAGAGUGCGUAAUAGCUCACUGGUCAAGUGAUUCUGCGCCGACAAUGUAGCGGGGCUCAAGUACACCGCCGAAGCCGCGGCACUCCAACAUGACAUCCACAUCCGACUACGGUUGGGUGUGCAGUGGUUGGGGUGGGUAGGGGAGCGUCGUACAGCCAGGGAAGCAGCGGUGUGAACCAGUUGUGGAGGCUGUGCGAGUGAGAAUGCAGGCAUGAGUAGCGAAAGACGAGUGAGAAACUCGUCCGCCGAAUGACCAAGGGUUCCUGGGCCAGGUUAAUCCGCCCAGGGUGAGUCGGGACCUAAGGCGAGGCCGACAGGCGUAGUCGAUGGACAACGGGUUGAUAUUCCCGUACCCGUGUAUCCGCGCCCAUGCUGAAUCAGUUGUGCUAAGUGCCCAAAUCCCCCAGGAAGACCUUCGGGUCUCGAGUGGGGUGCUGCGCAUGACCCCGGCUGGUAGUAGGCAAGCGAUGGGGUGACGCAGGAAGGUAGCUGGGCCAGUCAGUGGUUGUACUGGUGUAAGCCUGUAGGGAGUCUGAUAGGCAAAUCCGUCAGACAUGUAUCCUGAGAGGUGAUGCGUAGCCGAUUGAGGCGAAUUCAGUGAUCCUAUGCUGCCGAGAAAAGCCUCUAGUGAGUUGGUACACGGCCCGUACCCCAAACCGACACAGGUGGUCAGGUAGAGAAUACUGAGGCGAUCGAGAGAACUGUGGUUAAGGAACUCGGCAAAAUGCCCCCGUAACUUCGGGAGAAGGGGGACCACGCCUGGUGACCGGAUUUACUCCGUGAGCUGGGGGUGGUCGCAGAGACCAGAGAGAAGCGACUGUUUACUAAAAACACAGGUCCGUGCGAAGUCGUAAGACGAUGUAUACGGACUGACGCCUGCCCGGUGCCGGAAGGUUAAGAGGACCGGUUAGCGCCUUCGGGUGCGAAGCUGAGAAUUUAAGCCCCGGUAAACGGCGGUGGUAACUAUAACCAUCCUAAGGUAGCGAAAUUCCUUGUCGGGUAAGUUCCGACCUGCACGAAUGGCGUAACGACUUCUCUGCUGUCUCAACCACAGACUCGGCGAAAUUGCAUUACGAGUAAAGAUGCUCGUUACGCGCGGCAGGACGAAAAGACCCCGGGACCUUCACUAUAGCUUGGUAUUGGUGUUCGGUACGGUUUGUGUAGGAUAGGUGGGAGACUGUGAAGCAUGCACGCCAGUGUGUGUGGAGUCGUCGUUGAAAUACCACUCUGAUCGUAUUGGACCUCUAACCUCGGACCAUGAUCUGGUUCAGGGACAGUGCCUGGUGGGUAGUUUAACUGGGGCGGUUGCCUCCCAAAAUGUAACGGAGGCGCCCAAAGGUUCCCUCAGCCUGGUUGGCAAUCAGGUGUCGAGUGCAAGUGCACAAGGGAGCUUGACUGUGAGACAGACAUGUCGAGCAGGGACGAAAGUCGGGACUAGUGAUCCGGCACCGGCAUGUGGAAGCGGUGUCGCUCAACGGAUAAAAGGUACCCCGGGGAUAACAGGCUGAUCUUCCCCAAGAGUCCAUAUCGACGGGAUGGUUUGGCACCUCGAUGUCGGCUCGUCGCAUCCUGGGGCUGGAGUAGGUCCCAAGGGUUGGGCUGUUCGCCCAUUAAAGCGGCACGCGAGCUGGGUUUAGAACGUCGUGAGACAGUUCGGUCUCUAUCCGCCGCGCGCGUCAGAAACUUGAGGAAGGCUGUCCCUAGUACGAGAGGACCGGGACGGACGAACCUCUGGUGUGCCAGUUGUCCUGCCAAGGGCACUGCUGGUUGGCUACGUUCGGAAGGGAUAACCGCUGAAAGCAUCUAAGCGGGAAGCCUGUUCCAAGAUGAGGUUUCUCACCCACUCGAUGGGUUAAGGCCCCCUACAGACCAUGGGGUUGAUAGGCCAGAACUGGAAGCCCGGUAACGGGUGGAGGUGACUGGUACUAAUAGGCCGAGGACUUACCAAC
Molecule: ribosomal RNA, 2380 nt
Filed under: Nocardia cyriacigeorgica
Lineage: Bacteria; Bacillati; Actinomycetota; Actinomycetes; Mycobacteriales; Nocardiaceae
Description: partial 23S ribosomal RNA
Rfam family: Bacterial large subunit ribosomal RNA
Source: RNAcentral